GCCUAAAGCGUCCGUAGCCGGCUAUGUUAGUUCUCGGUUAAAUCCAUGUGCUCAACAUAUAGGCUGCCGGGAAUACUGCAAAGCUAGGGAGUGGGAGAGGUAGACGGUACUCCGUAGGAAGGGGUAAAAUCCUUUGAUCUAUGGAUGACCACCUGUGGCGAAGGCGGUCUACCAGAACACGUCUGACGGUGAGGGAUGAAAGCUGGGGGAGCAAACCGGAUUAGAUACCCGGGUAGUCCCAGCUGUAAACUAUGCAAACUCAGUGAUGCAUUGGCUUGUGGCCAGUGCAGUGCCGCAGAGAAGUCGUUAAGUUUGCCGCCUGGGAAGUACGUACGCAAGUAUGAAACUUAAAGGAAUUGGCGGGGGAGCACCACAAGGGGUGAAGCCUGCGGUUCAAUUGGAGUCAACGCCAGAAAUCUUACCCGGAGAGACAGCAGAAUGAAGGUCAAGUUGAAGCCUUUACCAGACAAGCUGAGAAGUGGUGCAUGGCCGUCGCCAGCUCGUGCCGUGAGGUGUCCUGUUAAGUCAGGUAACGAGCGAGAUCCUUGCCUCUAGUUGCUACCAUUACUCUCAGGAGUAGUGGAGCGAAUUAGCGGGACUGCCGUAGUUAAUACGGAGGAAGGAGAGGGCCACGGCAGGUCAGUAUGCCCCGAA
This 654-nucleotide ribosomal RNA is filed under the name uncultured archaeon. RNAcentral describes it as "bacterial SSU rRNA". It matches the Rfam family "Archaeal small subunit ribosomal RNA", at positions 508 to 1160 of the family's 1478-position model. The record is from RNAcentral.